RNAcentral lists this long non-coding RNA (424 nucleotides) under Androctonus crassicauda. The record is from RNAcentral. Lineage: Eukaryota; Metazoa; Arthropoda; Arachnida; Scorpiones; Buthidae.
UAUCCGUAGGCGAGCCCCUGGCGAUCUCUCGGCCUUAGCGCCAUCUUUUGAGAAACCUCUGCGCCAUGAGAGCGAAGUGGAGGAAGAAGCGAAUGCGCAGGCUGAAGCGCAAAAGAAGAAAGAUGAGGCAGAGGUCCAAGUAAACUUGUACACCUGUGGAAGCCACAGAAGCAGAAACAAGGGAAGCCAGAGGCCAGGGACGCUGGUACAAAGUGUGGACUGCAUGCCUACUAUCUAGAACUUCUCAAUGGAUCUGGAACAUCUAUGGCCAUUCUGAUCGCCUUGACCACCUUUGGGAGACCUACCUUGCUCAUAUCAAAGCCGUCCCUUUUAUUGCCUUGGACCUGUGAUAACUAUGGACUAGUUCUCUUCUCAGUUGUGGCUGAAUGUAACGUGUACAAUAAAUCAUCUCUUGCUGUCUUAG